UUGAUAUAAUCAUUUAUUUCAGAAAUUCUGACAUUGAUAAAGAUGUAGUAUAUUUAAUUCAACUGCUAAUUAUAUUAGAUACUUUUCAUAUUCACAAAUGCAAAUGGUCUAAAUCAAAACCGAACUUUUUUCCCUCCCAUUUUAUAAAAUAAUUUAAACAAUAUGGCACUACUUUAACUAAAAUGAAAAACAAAUAGCCAAUUCAAACUUGUUGUAUUAAUAAUGAAUAUGAUUUGUUUGUUUGGGAUUCCUGGCAAUGUUAAUAGUUUGUAUGUAUGCUUGUUUUUGCAUUUUUGUUGAUAUUUGUUCAUAAAAAAAUGAAUAAUAAAAAAAUUAAAAAAUUCAGCAAAUUGCGCAGGUGUUCAUCAUCCUCAUCUUCAUCAUCAUCAUUAACACCUUGAAUAAUACAUACUAUAUGUCUUGUCUGAUACUUUUUAAAGGGAGAAAUAAGAAAUACUUCUGAUAUCUAAAAAAAACAACAUUUAUUUCAUUAUAUGAGCAGAACUUCUGUACACAUUACUAUUAAUAUAAUGGUUAACAUUUACUGAAGAUGACAUACAACAUAACUGUAAAUAACUGGAAGGUUUUUACAAAGACAUCCCCCGUUCUGGAACUCUCCCCAUAUACAGAGUCCAGAGUCCAGAGUCCGGAAGCCCAAAGAGAGAGUGGGCAAUCGGACUAAGGAAGGUGGGUACCAGGCUGAAAAGUACCACCGGCAUCUGGUAACCCAAAGGCCCAAGAGAGAGUGGGCAACCCAGAGUCCGGUAGCCCAAAGAGAGAGUGGGCAAUCGGACUAAGGAAGGUGGGUACCAGGCUGAAAAGUACCACCAGCACCUGGUAACCCAAAGGCCCAAAGAGAGAGUGGGCAAUCGGACUAAGGAAGCUGGAAAUCUCCCCAAUAUACAGAAAUCACGGAUUGCUCAGGGAAUUAAAGAUAAAUAUUUACACUGUCUUCUGAAGAAACACAUACUUAGUUUAAAAUUAAAGCUCUGUAAUUCAGAUAUUUACUUAUUAGUAAUUGUAGAAAAUAUAAACAAUAAAAAGCUAUUAAAAAGUAAUCAAUAUUAUGAAUAAAAACUCUGAACAAUUAAGUAUUAUUCCAUUUAUAGCCUAAACAAAAAGCACAAAAAAAAUCUGACUUGGCCAAGUGCACACAUGAGUGUACAGCUAAGCUUGUACCACCCUAAGAGGUCGAAUACUGACAUAGGAGAAUAUAAUAAAAAUAUUAAUUAAACAUUGAAUUAUUACCAAAAAAAAGAGUUACCUUUUUUCUUCUUCACUGUACAACGAAUAUAAAACAUACAAAACAUUUGCUGGUUAAAAUGCAUUUGUCAGUAACAAGUUAUAAGUUUAGGCACAGGUCAAAUUCCAACAGGAGGUUCAGGAAAUGUCCCUAUCGUGACUAUUGAGCUGCUGUAACUCUUUUUCUGUCUCUUGGUCUCAUAGCUUAGCUUACUUUACAGUCUCGUAGCUUACUUUACAGAGAAACAAUUGAAUGUCCUUGGAUGGACUUGGAUGGUCUUGGAUGGUCUUGGAUGGUCUUGGAUGGUCUUGGAUGUCAUUGGAUGGUCUUGGAUGGUCUUGGAUGGUCUUGGAUGUCCUUGGAUGGUCUUGGAUGGUCUUGGAGGGUCGGAUGGUCUUGGAUGGUCUUGGAUGUCCUUCAAUGGUCUUGGAUGGUCAUGGAUGGUCUUGGAUGGUCUUGGAUGGUUUUGGAUGGUCUUGGAUGGUCUUGGAUGGUCUUGGAUGGCCUUCGAUGGUCUUGGAUGGUAUUGCAUGUCCUUGGAUGGUCUUGGAUGGUUUUGGAUGGUCUUGGAUGGUCUUGGAUGGCCUUCGAUGGUCUUGGAUGGUCUUGGAUGGUCUUGGAUGGCCUUGGAUGGUCUUGGAUGGAUGGUCUUGGAUGGACUUGGAUGGUCUUUAACCGUCUCAGGAUGAUCCUCCUCCACACUUCAUAUGUAGAAAGAAAGAAUAGAUUAUUUAACUUGGAUCGACAGCAGAUCAACACAUGCUACCAAAGAAGAAGAAGAAGAAGAAGAAGUCCUGAGAGAUGUCAGCACCACAGAUGAGCCAUGGAGAAAACAGAGCAGGUGCACCCUCACUAUUAAAAUAAGGAGGUGGCAAACUUGUGUUUUUGCAUCUCUUUUUUUUGGUACCAGAAAAUUAUAAUAAUAAUUAUAAUUAGGUCAUUUGUCAAUACAUUUUUUUUUUAAAGUAUAGUCUGUAUUAAAAAUAGAUAUAUCUGACCAUUUUAUAAAAUAUAUAAUAAUUACCAUCUGAGCAUGCUUGUCCA
Molecule: long non-coding RNA, 2287 nt
Organism: Oncorhynchus tshawytscha (Chinook salmon)
Lineage: Eukaryota; Metazoa; Chordata; Actinopteri; Salmoniformes; Salmonidae
Source: Ensembl